CCCGGUAAAAGCAUCGACCGGCGCAGUCAGGCACUCCCCAACCCAAGACUCGGCACCGAGUCAUGCAAUCGGGUCCAAUGGACUCGGCGGAAUAGACGACCCAUAGAGCCCCCUUACCGCAGACGCCGCCGACGCUGGGGAUCGCCGCCUCGCCGUCUCGCCGCUACCUUCGCCCGCCCGACCUCAAGGACGACCUAGGUUAACUCGCCAAUGGCGAGUCCCUUCUCAAGUGCCUGUUGAAGCUCGCGGGACUAGGCCACGGAGACAGCGACGACAGAGGCGCACUCGUUCGCAGCCGGAACGGCCGCUUAAGUUUGACGUCGAGUCCGACACGUGUACCUCAUCCACCGACGUCGGGACUGGCCAGACCUCCGCUCGAGGCGGCCUCCUCCUUACGAAGUGACGUGUGACCUUCCACUUAGGCCUUCCGGGGCCGACCUACUUCUCCAGUGACAGGUCUAGUAGUACGAUGAGUUCGUCGUCUCGCAUUCCCGGUAUGAUGUGAACAGAGUUCGGUUUUUACGUUCCGUCGACCUGUACAAGUUCAAGAGACUAGUCGAGGAGUCUAGAGAAUCGGUGGCUACACAUACAAGAGGACGUGCGCCUAAAUGGCUGACGGGAGACUGUCCGUAUCCCUGAAGCUUGUGUCGGCUGGUAUUCUUAUGUGAACGUACGUUCUAAGCUCCGGUCUAUGAACUAAACAGGUUGACGUUCGCUAGUCCAUUGAGAGAGCUGCAGGAACCACUUAGGAGAGUGUUCACGCUUGUGUCCUAACUAGUUAGGAGCAGGGUUGUACUUCCGAUGAGGUAGGAGUAGAUGAGGGGACGACUUGAAGACGUUCAGCUGCGAAUCCCGGUAACGUCUCUACAUACGAUUAGAGGGACGGCUGUCGGUGUAGUGACACUAUAUAAGGUCGUACCGAAGCGGUCGUUAGGUACACGACCCCACACCAUGGCAUAGGAGGCGUAGGCCGAUGGCGGCUCGUCUAGCUCCACAUGAAUAUUGUUCGUAGACUCGUCGUUGACAGGUCCAAAAGUAACAAAAGAAUCGUAAAAGUAACGUAGAGUACAAUCCGAAGAAAAACUCGGUGACACGGUAUUGUCGUGGUAAGGUUUGUCGGUCCGUGAAGUAAUAAGUAUUAAGUGGUUACAAAUAACCGUAGUGACCGUACCGGGACGCGGUCAUCGAGUAACCCUGUGCAUAGAAUCUAUGCAUAGAAUCUAGCGACCAGAGUUAAGAGUAUUCCUCUAAACGAACCCGGCUGGAACUUCAAUUGGUUCCCACAAACAUGGUAUCAACCUCCGUGUAAUACCUCCGUCUGAAGUCAUUGGUAGUGUAGUGUGGAAAAAGUCGGCUUGCACAACAAGGAAUAAUGGUAGAGGCGAGGGCGGAAUUUGACUCUAAAGAACAAAUUACUGUGAGGUCUAAGAACAGGACCGCCUGGUACUGAUGAACUGGUCGUACAGGUAGGUCUUAGUCGAACAGCAUGUCCCCAUAUGGCAUACUGUAAUGAAGGAGAGUCUUCAAGAAGGAAGGGCCAGCAAGGUGACCUCCUUUUAACCGAAGACGAUUUCAUCCUUUACUACAGGUUUUUUGACGUACAUGAACUGGGUGACAGUCCUGCGUCUCCUGGAUCGUACGUUUGGUUCCUAUUCGCGCUUGAAUAGCGGACCUUCGAAGUGGUGCGACAGAACGUGACGGAGUUACUCAUGAUGCGACCUACCGUUGUGUCCUACCUCUAACCAGAUGGUAGAUGUAUCCUCCUAUGGCCCCGAACGUAGAACGUGUAACGUGUAACGCUCCGUAAUCCUGCCGUAUUUCGAGUUCUAGGGUGACUUUUUCAAAUGUCCCCUUGUGGAGGUGCGACCGCGUGCUCCGUGAGACCUGCCAUGAUCGUGGAUGGCUAAGAACGAAGUCUAGCUUGUAGAGUCGAAUCUGUGGUCGAGUACCGGACGAAUUUGUGCGGGGAUUAGACGCGGCGUCCCUCUAAGGGGGAAUAGUGACGGGGGUACCUCUAAGAUGGAAUCGUGACGAUGCUAGAAGAAAAGUUUUUCGUAAAUACACUUCUACAACACAAUAUCUGCGUUUUGGAUGGGAGGAAAACGGUACAGGCAUGGAAGCUUAGUAGAAGCGUAAAAAGUACACACGAAAUAUUUCUAAACUCAUGAGAAAAGCAUGAAGGUAAACAAGUAUUGGGACGAGUAAAUAUGUUAUCGAAAGUCACUACGAGAGAAAA
This 2236-nucleotide ribosomal RNA is filed under the name Triticum aestivum (bread wheat). RNAcentral's name for it is "partial small subunit ribosomal RNA". The record is from RNAcentral. Lineage: Eukaryota; Viridiplantae; Streptophyta; Magnoliopsida; Poales; Poaceae.